GACGGGACCGCACAAGCGGUGGAUGAUGUGGAUUAAUUCGAUGCAACGCGAAAACCUUACCUACCCUUGACAUGUCUGGAACCUUGGUGAGAGCCGAGGGUGCUUCGGGAGCCAGAACACAGGUGCUGCGUGGCUGUCGUCAGCUCGUGUCGUGAGAUGUUGGGUUAAGUCCCGCAACGAGCGCAACCCUUGUCAUUAGUUGCCAUCAUUUAGUUGGGCACUCUAAUGAGACUGCCGGUGACAAACCGGAGGAAGGUGGGGAUGACGUCAAGUCCUCAUGGCCCUUAUGGGUAGGGCUUCACACGUCAUACAAUGGUCGGUACAGAGGGUUGCCAAGCCGCGAGGUGGAGCCAAUCCCUUAAAGCCGAUCGUAGUCCGGAUCGUAGUCUGCAACUCGACUACGUGAAGUCGGAAUCGCUAGUAAUCGCAGAUCAGCAUGCUGCGGUGAAUACGUUCCCGGGUCUU
This 465-nucleotide ribosomal RNA is filed under the name uncultured Thauera sp. RNAcentral describes it as "bacterial SSU rRNA". It matches the Rfam family "Bacterial small subunit ribosomal RNA", at positions 917 to 1381 of the family's 1533-position model. The record is from RNAcentral. Lineage: Bacteria; Pseudomonadati; Pseudomonadota; Betaproteobacteria; Rhodocyclales; Zoogloeaceae.